CCUACGGGCGGCAGCAGUGAGGAAUAUUGGUCAAUGGGCGAGAGCCUGAACCAGCCAAGUCGCGUGAAGGAUGACGGCCCUACGGGUUGUAAACUUCUUUUGUCAGGGAGCAAUUGGGUCCACGCGUGGGCUUAGCGAGAGUACCUGAAGAAAAAGCAUCGGCUAACUCCGUGCCAGCAGCCGCGGUAAUACGGAGGAUGCGAGCGUUAUCCGGAUUUAUUGGGUUUAAAGGGUGCGUAGGCGGAAUAUCAAGUCAGCGGUAAAAAUUCGGGGCUCAACCCCGUCGUGCCGUUGAAACUGGUUUUCUAGAGUUGGAGAGAAGUAUGCGGAAUUCGUGGUGUAGCGGUGAAAUGCAUAGAUAUCACGAAGAACUCCGAUUGCGAAGGCAGCAUACCGGCUCCAUACUGACGCUGAGGCACGAAAGCGUGGGGAUCGAACAGGAUUAGAUACCCGUGUAGUC
RNAcentral lists this ribosomal RNA (460 nucleotides) under uncultured bacterium. RNAcentral's name for it is "partial 16S ribosomal RNA". It matches the Rfam family "Bacterial small subunit ribosomal RNA", at positions 338 to 795 of the family's 1533-position model. The record is from RNAcentral.